GGAUAACGGAAGAGGGCGUCGGCUCGACUUCGUCGGUUCCUCGGGCCGAGGCACGUACGGUGAAUAGGGACGGUCGGGGCCGCCCGUACCGGGUCGUGAGAGGUGAAAUUCUAGGAUCGACCCGAGACGAACUGCCGCGAAAGCAUUCGGCAAGGACGCUUUCAUUAAUCAAGAACGAAAGUCGGGGGAUCGAAGACGAUCAGAUACCGUCGUAGUCCCGACCGUAAACGAUGCCGACCGAGGGCCCGGAGGAGUUACGUACGACCCUCCGGGCCCUCCCGCGAGAAAUCAGGAGUAUUCGGGUUCCGGGGGAGUAUGGUCGCAAGGCCGAAACUUAAAGGAAUUGACGGAAGGGCACCACCAGGAGUGGAAUCUGCGGCUUAAUUUGACCCAACGCGGGAAAAACUCACCAGGUCAGGACACGGUAAGGAUUGACGGACUGAAGGCUCUUUCUCGAUUCCGUGG
This 465-nucleotide ribosomal RNA is filed under the name uncultured eukaryote. RNAcentral's name for it is "SSU rRNA". It matches the Rfam family "Eukaryotic small subunit ribosomal RNA", at positions 812 to 1273 of the family's 1831-position model. The record is from RNAcentral.